Molecule: ribosomal RNA, 501 nt
Filed under: uncultured bacterium
Lineage: Bacteria
Description: bacterial SSU rRNA
Rfam family: Bacterial small subunit ribosomal RNA
Source: RNAcentral
AGAGUUUGAUCAUGGCUCAGAUUGAACGCUGGCGGAAUGCUUUACACAUGCAAGUCGAACGGCAGCACGGGGCAACCUGGUGGCGAGUGGCGAACGGGUGAGUAAUAUAUCGGAACGUGCCCAAUCGUGGGGAUAACGUAGCGAAAGUUACGCUAAUACCGCAUACGAUCUACGGAUGAAAGCGGGGGAUCGCAAGACCUCGCACGAAUGGAGCGGCCGAUAUCAGAUUAGGUAGUUGGUGGGGUAAAGGCUCACCAAGCCAACGAUCUGUAGCUGGUCUGAGAGGACGACCAGCCACACUGGAACUGAGACACGGUCCAGACUCCUACGGGAGGCAGCAGUGGGGAAUUUUGGACAAUGGGCGCAAGCCUGAUCCAGCCAUUCCGCGUGCAGGAUGAAGGCCUUCGGGUUGUAAACUGCUUUUGUACGGAACGAAACGGUCUGCCCUAAUACGGUGGGCUAAUGACGGUACCGUAAGAAUAAGCACCGGCUAACUACGUG